This is a small nuclear RNA of Suncus etruscus (white-toothed pygmy shrew), 106 nucleotides long. The record is from RefSeq and is a predicted model, not a curated record. NCBI's taxonomy places the organism in Eukaryota, Metazoa, Chordata, Mammalia, Eulipotyphla, Soricidae.
GUGCUCGCAUUGGCAGCGCAUAUACUAAAAUUGGAAGGAUACAGAGAAGAUUAGCAUGGCCCCUGUGCAAGGAUAAGCACAAACUCGUGAAGCAUUCCAUAUUUAA